This 440-nucleotide ribosomal RNA is filed under the name uncultured bacterium. Its description in RNAcentral is "partial 16S ribosomal RNA". It matches the Rfam family "Bacterial small subunit ribosomal RNA", at positions 338 to 795 of the family's 1533-position model. The record is from RNAcentral.
CCUACGGGAGGCAGCAGUAGGGAAUAUUGCUCAAUGGGGGAAACCCUGAAGCAGCAACGCCGCGUGGAGGAUGAAGGUUUUCGGAUUGUAAACUCCUUUUGUCAGAGAAGAUAAUGACGGUAUCUAACGAAUAAGCACCGGCUAAAUCCGUGCCAGCAGCCGGGGUAAUGCGGGGGGUGCAGGCGUUACUCGGAAUCACUGGGCGUAAAGGGGGUGUAGGCGGGAUAGCAAGUCAGAUGUGAAAUCCUAUGGCUUAACCAUAGAACUGCAUUUGAAACUGUUAGUCUAGAGUAUGGGAGAGGUAGGUGGAAUUCUUGGUGUAGGGGUAAAAUGCAUAGAGAUCAAGAGGAAUACUCAUUGCGAAGGCGACCUACUGGAACAUAACUGACGCUGAUGCGCGAAGGCGUGGGGAGCGAACAGGAUUAGAUACCCGAGUAGUC